This 643-nucleotide ribosomal RNA is filed under the name Fusarium sp. Its description in RNAcentral is "eukaryotic LSU rRNA". It matches the Rfam family "Eukaryotic large subunit ribosomal RNA", at positions 1 to 654 of the family's 3401-position model. RNAcentral also lists the same sequence under 2 other names. The record is from RNAcentral. Lineage: Eukaryota; Fungi; Ascomycota; Sordariomycetes; Hypocreales; Nectriaceae.
AACUUCUGAAUGUUGACCUCGGAUCAGGUAGGAAUACCCGCUGAACUUAAGCAUAUCAAUAAGCGGAGGAAAAGAAACCAACAGGGAUUGCCCUAGUAACGGCGAGUGAAGCGGCAACAGCUCAAAUUUGAAAUCUGGCUCUCGGGCCCGAGUUGUAAUUUGUAGAGGAUGCUUUUGAUGCGGUGCCUUCCGAGUUCCCUGGAACGGGACGCCAUAGAGGGUGAGAGCCCCGUCUGGUUGGAUGCCAAAUCUCUGUAAAGCUCCUUCGACGAGUCGAGUAGUUUGGGAAUGCUGCUCUAAAUGGGAGGUAUAUGUCUUCUAAAGCUAAAUACCGGCCAGAGACCGAUAGCGCACAAGUAGAGUGAUCGAAAGAUGAAAAGCACUUUGAAAAGAGAGUUAAAAAGUACGUGAAAUUGUUGAAAGGGAAGCGUUUAUGACCAGACUUGGGCUUGGUUAAUCAUCUGGGGUUCUCCCCAGUGCACUUUUCCAGUCCAGGCCAGCAUCAGUUUUCGCCGGGGGAUAAAGGCUUCGGGAAUGUGGCUCCCUCCGGGGAGUGUUAUAGCCCGUUGCGUAAUACCCUGGCGGGGACUGAGGUUCGCGCAUCUGCAAGGAUGCUGGCGUAAUGGUCAUCAACGACCCGUCU